UGUAAGAUAAAAACACAGUCUGGUUGGUAGUCCAGACGUAGCGGAAGCUAUCAGUAACCUGCCUCCUUGGUUGUCCCUUCUUAUUCAUAC
This 90-nucleotide non-coding RNA is filed under the name Beduini massiliensis. RNAcentral's name for it is "yjdF RNA". It matches the Rfam family "azaaromatic riboswitch aptamer (yjdF RNA)". Lineage: Bacteria; Bacillati; Bacillota; Erysipelotrichia; Erysipelotrichales; Erysipelotrichaceae. The record is from RNAcentral.